AUUGCCCUAGUAACGGCGAGUGAAGCGGCAACAGCUCAAAUUUGAAAUCUGGCUUCGGCCCGAGUUGUAAUUUGUAGAGGAAGCUUUUGGUGAGGCACCUUCUGAGUCCCCUGGAACGGGGCGCCAUAGAGGGUGAGAGCCCCGUAUAGUCGGAUGCCGAUCCAAUGUAAAGCUCCUUCGACGAGUCGAGUAGUUUGGGAAUGCUGCUCAAAAUGGGAGGUAAAUUUCUUCUAAAGCUAAAUACCGGCCAGAGACCGAUAGCGCACAAGUAGAGUGAUCGAAAGAUGAAAAGCACUUUGAAAAGAGGGUUAAAUAGCACGUGAAAUUGUUGAAAGGGAAGCGUUUGUGACCAGACUUGCGCCGUUCCGAUCAUCCGGUGUUCUCACCGGUGCACUCGGGGCGGCUCAGGCCAGCAUCGGUUUUGGCGGGGGGAUAAAGGUUCGGGGAACGUAGCUCCUUCGGGAGUGUUAUAGCCCCGGGCGUAAUGCCCUCGCCGGGACCGAGGUUCGCGCAUCUGCAAGGAUGCUGGCGUAAUGGUCAUCAACGACCCGUCUUGAAACACGGACCAAGGAGUCAAGGUUUUGCGCGAGUGUUUGGGUGUAAAACCCGCACGCGUAAUGAAAGUGAACGUAGGUGAGAGCUUCGGCGCAUCAUCGACCGAUCCUGAUGUAUUCGGAUGGAUUUGAGUAAGAGCGUUAAGCCUUGGACCCGAAAGAUGGUGAACUAUGCUUGGAUAGGGUGAAGCCAGAGGAAACUCUGGUGGAGGCUCGCAGCGGUUCUGACGUGCAAAUCGAUCGUCAAAUCUGAGCAUGGGGGCGAAAGACUA
Molecule: ribosomal RNA, 826 nt
Filed under: Neurospora sitophila
Lineage: Eukaryota; Fungi; Ascomycota; Sordariomycetes; Sordariales; Sordariaceae
Description: eukaryotic LSU rRNA
Rfam family: Eukaryotic large subunit ribosomal RNA
Source: RNAcentral